GGGAAUAUUGGACAAUGGGCGAAAGCCUGAUCCAGCAAUGCCGCGUGGGUGAAGAAGGUUUUCGGAUUGUAAAGCCCUUUCGGCGGGGACGAUGAUGACGGUACCCGCAGAAGAAGCUCCGGCUAACUUCGUGCCAGCAGCCGCGGUAAUACGAAGGGGGCUAGCGUUGCUCGGAAUGACUGGGCGUAAAGGGCGCGUAGGCGGUUCGUACAGUCGGGUGUGAAAUUCCUGGGCUUAACCUGGGGACUGCCCUCGAGACGUGCGGGCUAGAGUGGGGAAGAGGGUCGUGGAAUUCCCAGUGUAGAGGUGAAAUUCGUAGAUAUUGGGAAGAACACCGGUGGCGAAGGCGGCGACCUGGUCCUUGACUGACGCUGAGGCGCGAAAGCGUGGGGAGCAAAC
This 399-nucleotide ribosomal RNA is filed under the name uncultured bacterium. RNAcentral's name for it is "bacterial SSU rRNA". It matches the Rfam family "Bacterial small subunit ribosomal RNA", at positions 357 to 773 of the family's 1533-position model. The record is from RNAcentral.